This is an RNA transcript of Anopheles coustani, 6572 nucleotides long. It is a transcript of the gene named protein LSM14 homolog B, with no coding region annotated. The record is from RefSeq and is a predicted model, not a curated record. The transcript is spliced from 10 exons. Lineage: Eukaryota; Metazoa; Arthropoda; Insecta; Diptera; Culicidae.
AGCGGGGUCGUCUCUUUUGGAUGGUCACGGAAAGUGAGUGUGCGGAAUAUUGUGCGUUCCUUUCUUCGGUCCGGUGUGUCGCGUAGAAAUUCGCGGUUCGCCAUUGGCACAGGUGUGUGGCACGGUAACAGAAUUUGCUUCGAGUUUGCAAAUUUCGUUGCAUCGUGGCGUGCUGUUAGCAAACGUUUCCGAGCGUCCAGCUAUCCGAGUUAAGGUCCGUGCUCCUAAUCAAAGAAAGAGCGAAAGUGUCAAUUUUGCGGUGCAGUGAAUAAUUCUUGAAAUAAUCAUCAGUACGCCAAACCUGCGAAAAAUCGAACAGAAAGUGCUGUGUGGAUACCUCGUCGGCGUCUCAGGACUCAUACGCCCGGAACAAAGGUCUCCAAAGUGUGUGUUGUGCGUGUGUGUGCGCUCACGCAGGCUGGAGACAUCGUUCGAUCACCGGCGACCUUUGAGUGUGAAAGCAUUAGCGAAAAGUUAAGGUGCUUUUGAUCCAGCGAUAGGAAGGCAUAAAGAUGAGUUGUCCAAUGCCGGAAAUUGGUUCUUGCAUCUCGCUGAUAUCGAAAGCCGAUAUCCGCUAUGAGGGGUUCCUGUUCACCGUCGAUCCGGAGCGCUGUACGAUCGCCCUUGCCCGAGUGAAAUCGUACGGCACGGAGGAUCGCGAAACGCAAUUCCCUAUUGCGCCGCAGAACCAAUACUAUGACUACAUAUUGUUCCGCGGGACGGACAUCAAGGAUAUACGGGUGAUCAACAACAACCCGGUGCCGAAUGAUCCGGCCAUCAUGCAGAUGCAUCUACCGCCGCAACCGCCGCAGAUGGCGAUGCCGAGUAAGCUUGGUCAACCGGCUUACCAGUCGCAGCCCGGGUUCAUGAUGCCGCAGAUGGGCGGACCUCAGGCCAGCGGCCCACCCGGUGGUCCGAUGCCACCUAUGGGUGGUCCUCCGCCUCCGGGUCACGGACAGCAGCCCCAGAUGGGUGGAGGUGGAGCCGCGGUCCCAUCGUACAACGCUGGCUUCGGUGGAAUGAAUAAUCUCGGAGGAGGAAGCGGUUCGCGAUCGGGAACGCCGAGCAACAUGUUGUCGCGCAAGAGUCCUACGGUGGACAUUGCUGUGCAAACGAAUCAGCAGCAGCAACAACAGCAGCAGCAACAUCAUCAGGGUCAGCAGCAGCCCCAGCAGCAGCAGAUGAUGCAGCAGAUCAACCGUGACGGUGGCAACAAUAACCAACGCAACAAGAACAACAACCAUCGAGGAUCCCACCCGAAUAACAACCAGCGAGAGAGACGCGAUUCCGGCAAGCAGCAGCAACAGCAGCAGCAACAAACACCGCAGCAAAUUGCUGACAACCAGAUUAAGGAAAACUAUAACAAUAAUAAGGCAAGAGUUCAGCAGCAGCAGCAAGGAGGAGCCGGUGGGCAGAACCGAGGUGGAUGGAACAAUAAUCGCAAUCACCAGAACAACCACAACAAUGGAGGAAACAACAUUCGCGGUAGACCGCGUGGUGGUAACAUUGGCCAACCGCAGCAGCAGCAGCAGGGAACCACUGGCGGUGCUGGUGGACAGCGUGCGAAGAAUUUGCUAAAGUUUGAUAACGAUUACGAUUUCGAGCAGGCUAACAGCAAGUUCGAAGAGCUUCGAUCGCAACUGUCUAAACUUAAGGUGGGCGAAGAAGUGAAACCAGAGCAGAUCACUGAAACGCUGGACAAGAAGGAUGAUUCGGGCAACGAGACUGGUGCCGGCGAACACGAGCAGGAAGAAGAAGAAGUCAUCUGUUACGAUAAGGCCAAAUCCUUCUUCGAUACCAUCUCGUGCGAAGCGGUUGAACGCGCUAAGGGCAAGCAGCAGCGUACGGAUUGGCGUCAGGAGCGUAAGCUAAACACCGAAACGUUCGGCGUUGGAUCGACCAGACGUGGCGGGUACAACCGACGAGGCGGUUACUUCAACCGUGGUCCCAACAAUUACCACCGUGGGGGCAACAAUUAUCGCGGCGGCAGCAACAACUAUCGGGGCCGCAGUGGAAACCGCAACAAUCAGUUGAACGGUGGCGGUAUGUCCCAUAACCGAUCUGGUGGCCAGCAGCAGCAGGGCGGUACUACCGGCCAGAACAACCAGAACGCUGGCGGUCAGCAGCAACAGAACCAAGCAACGCCGGCUGCCCCUUCUAACCAGGAACAGCAGCAACCGGCCGUCAUAGAAGUGGCAGCAGGCAAAUAAUGCUACAAAAAACGGAACACCACGGAGAAACUCUUACUUUUAGAAAGCUGACUAGUUUCGUUCGGAAAAUUGGCUGAAAAAAGCAGGAGCAAAACAAAAUGAACUCAGAUUAAGUCGUCAAACAAAUGAAUUGAAGUUGAGUCGAAGUUUGUAGAAGAGAAUUUCCGUAUAGCGUUACAGUAACGGAAAACAGAAUACAUCCACUUCCACACAAAUGCAAACCACACACCAUACCAGAAGAGAGCAGUACCAAGUUCUAGACAAAAGAAACUCACAACCAUUGUCACCAAUCUUUAAAAACAAACGCGCACGGCAUAUGUGACAAAGCAGUAAUGAAAUUAACAACGAUAAGUCAUCUACAGAACAUUAUAAGUAGUGUAUCGCAGGAGUAUGCACGUGUGUUUGUGUGUGUGCGUGCUGUGCUGUACUGGAUUUGUAAAACACGAAGUGCAAGUAGCGUUGCGCUACAAAUGAAGCUGUGGAGAACAAAAUAAGAGACAUUGUGUUGAAGGAAAACUGCAAACAUGGCGGCAAAACAUGUGUGCGCGCUUCUCUGUUAUAAAAAGAAGUAGCAGAAUACUGGCAGGCAAACGCAGAAUACUGGCAGGCAAACGAAACUGGCAGAAACGAUAAUGAUGCACGCCGAUGUGUUGGCGGACACUGCUGAUUAUAGACCUUCCAGUUUUUUCAUUGACGCAGCAAACAACCUCCCUGUGCGAAAAAUUGUUGAUAUGAAGGUUAUGGAAGCGAAUGUAGAAAACACGGUGCUAGCUGCUACACAAAUUUAAAUGCGGGAAAGAACAUAGUCAUUAUCUCUAAUCAUCCGUACUGAAAAGGAAGAGAUGUACCAAUGCAAUGCGAUGGUACUUUUGUAGCAAGAUGAAGAAACUGAUUUGGUUCAGCAAUUGACGAUAAAGCUACUAUGAUCGGAUGAUGAUGCUCGGACCACAGAACAUAGGAGUCGAUAGUAAAUGUCGCUUAACGUGUUUACCUCCAGUAUAAUGUUCGCCGUGAUAAUCCUUCAACAAAAUCAGCAGCCAUUGAUGUUCUGUGUUUUUGUCGUUGAUCCUCGUGCUGGGAACAGAGGAGGCAACAAACCAGAAAACAACGCUAAAUGGUGUCAAAACGGAAUCGGAUGGAUAACAGAUAAGGACUGUUUAUUGAUUGGCUGAAGCAAAAAAUGUGUGUAUACGGUGGAAAUUCUCCUCACCUUCUAUUUCCAUAAACAGUGUAACAAGUUAGCAGGUGGUCCAAAGAACACUUUAUGACAGCAGCUAACAAAAAGAAGGCAAAUCACGAAAUAGAGACGAAAAAUAGAGACCUGAUAAAGAAAGCCGGCGCAAUGGUUCUUACGGAACCUACCCACCACACAGCGCACAUUUGUUGUGAAAGUGCAUCUUGUCAUUGCCAUCGCCAACUCAUCUCAUCGCAUUCCACCCGUUCGUGUGGGAGCCAUUGUUUACCUGUCCAGCCUGUGUCCUAAUCAGACGCGUAUCAUCAUCAUCGGAAAGUUAGUUUUAAUUGUGUUAGAAUUAAAUAUUCCGCGAAAGAAGCGGCAGUUACAGGCGAGAAAGAUAGUAGUGGAUGAAUAUCAAAAAGGAUCCGGAGGGAAUAUAGUUCCACCGAUGGUUCGCUUAGUUGUGUCUAAUGAGUCAAAAAGUCCAGCAUCUUAAAUCCUCCUAAAAACGGCGUUAGUAGAAAAAUAUGCGCAUGCCUUCCAAAACGACAAGCAUCAUUUGGUUCCAGCAGCUCUAAUGGGCCUGAUAGGGAACGAUUGUAUACAGUGUGGAACUGGAUAGAAGACAGGGAAUCCGUCGUAAAGAAAACAAAACCCAUCUUUCAAGAAAGAUAAUAAUGCAGAAUGAGAGAGAGAGAGUGUGUCGCAGCGCAGUUCCAAAAGUUACACAUUCGUGUAGAUGUGUGCCGUGUAAAAGCGUGCCGGACGAUCAAACCGUCCCAUCCGUCCGAAUCCGUGAGCAGUAAAGAGGGCAUGAUUUAUCGAAUCGGUUAUUUACGGCUCACACCUAUUUUAUCUAAAGCAAUUUAAAGGAAACCCGCCUUUGCAUUGCUUUUUUGUUUGGCUUGUCAUUUUGGCUCUCGACGGUAAACUCGGUUAAGAAGGGUCGGGACAACAGAUGGUAGGACCGAUGUGGUUGGUUUGGCUUCUGACGUGAAGGAAUUACUAACCAACGUUGGCUAAAUUUACUUUCUCACGCCAACUAUUUGUACUUUAAAUUUUGUUUUUGAAAAUUUGAUUGCAGGGCGAAUCAUUGUAAUCUUUAAUCCUGUUCUAUCUUUAUAGUUUAUACCAUUGCUAGUUUUAUUUUUUCUUAUUUUGAUUUUGCUUCAAAGUGUAUUAUUUCAUUUCAUUUAAGUUUCUCUUUUCGUCUUUUGUGUCUCCAGAUAUUAAAUUAUGACUGGUGGGCUUGAUUGAUGGCAAGAUUUAUACUAAAAUUACUACUGUACACUCGUAAUCCCUUUCCUCUGUUUUUCUAUUCCUUGGCCCUGCUCCAAAUGUGUAUCCUCGAACGAGUUAUUUAUGAGAGAUGAAUAUUGACCUCCGCCACGAUUUUUUAAAGCAUAUGAGCGGCUCAGCGAAUACGUUCUCUAAGUGCAGGAGCGGUUAACGGAGUAUUUAGUAAACUAGAAUACACAACGGUUCCUUUGGACACAACUGCACGGAACAAAACUGUCCCGCUCAUUCGGUCGAUCGUGUUGUGGUGUGUGAUUUUAUCUGUGUACAAUACAGAAAAUGCUAGAGCAAAGUGUACAACCGUAAUCUCACAUAAACAAAUUUGGAUCAUAUAAGAGGAAAAAAUGAUAGCAGAGAGGGAACCAAACGAUAAAAUUAUUCGCUUUUGGAGCCAUGCAUAGUAGUACUAAACAAUGCUAUCUGAUGGUAACCGGCAGAGACAGAGACACGAAUACGCAGAAGCCAAGAGAAUAGGGCCACGGUGGGGACAAUAGAAAAUCGUUUGUUAAAGUUUAGUUUAGUGUUCAAAACCACCCAGAACUUCCCUCGCUUACAUGGGGUCAAUCUUUCAAUCUGUGUUUCUUUCAAUGCAGGAAGUGGUAGUGAAAAUUUAAAAGCAUAACAGAAGCAAGGCAUAAAUAAGAGGCAAGAGCGAAAAACACACAGACAAACACACACUAGAAUCAGUAGACUAAUAGUGAAAAACGUGUAGGUACUGGGAAUGUAAAGAGGUGAAAGAAGCCACCCGGCUCAAAAUGUAAUGGGAAUCUAAUUACUAAGUUUCGGAAUAAUUAUAUUUAAAUUGCAAAACAUUGAGAAUGAGCUGGAAAUAUAGAAAAGCAGUAAACAAAAAACAAAAAACUGAAAGGAAACAAAUGUUGGUCAUCGGAAUUGGUCUUACGAAUGGUAAAAGUAUCCUGACGGAAUGAAGCUCGUAUGGAUGGCGCGUGGGAGGGUAGAAUUCUACGUUCGUUAGUUUUUUUUAUCUAUUUCUUCCGAUUUGAAUAAAUGUUUUAAUGAUGGUGUGUUCAAUUUGGAAAUGAAAUCGAUGGCGAUCGAAAUAGCACAUGCGCCACGUAACGGCCUAGUUACCGGAUCUGGCAAAGGAAGACCCACCGGCCGUCCGAUAAGGAGCACCAAAGGAGCAAAGCAAACCAUCGAAAUACAACGUAUUUGUGUUAUGUGCGGUUACUAUAAAAAAAACUACAACUUUAUAGAGGGGAGCACCGGGUAGUAAUUUCGAUUUCCAUGCUCGUUGCAAACAAAUUUUAACUUUACUCACUAUACUAAUCUGUAGUAGAAAGCUGCAGAUGAAGUAUAUUUGUCGGAAACUUCGAAUGGUUUCGUACAAACAUAGGACUAAAUUCACCUGAGCAGAGCAACAGAUAAACGUGGAUGGUGAUCUAAGAAGAAUGGUCGAUGGUAAUUAUGGAUGGAAAAACAGGAAAUGUCAUAACAAUAAUAAAAAGCAAGACCCGGCUAAUAAUAAAAAAAAUAAUGUAUCCAUCUCAACAUUCAGAACACUAUGUUUAAAGAAAAUUCCUGAUUUGUUGACUAAGUUCUGAGGGACUGAUACAAUGCAAUGGCACAAAAGAAACCUUCCUGAAGAGAGAUACAUUAUUGGAAUUGAGGAGACAAAAUAAGAAAAAGCUCGUAAAUUAUUUCAUACGUUUUGAGUUUGGGCAAAUAACCAAACUAUUUGGCCUUUCAAAUGUAUAUGACCAGGAGUGCGCAUACCUGGCAGAUCUUUAUGCAGAUCCACCAACAAAAAAUGUGAAUGAUGUCAAUGAUGUACCCCCAACAACUGGAACAAGUAUCUUUGGCAAGCCUCGCUUGACGGGAGUGACUAGUAUCGAAAUGCCCCGAACAUUUUUUAAGUAAUAAGAAAG